UCGAGCGGAUGACGGGAGCUUGCUCCUUGAUUCAGCGGCGGACGGGUGAGUAAUGCCUAGGAAUCUGCCUGGUAGUGGGGGACAACGUUUCGAAAGGAACGCUAAUACCGCAUACGUCCUACGGGAGAAAGCAGGGGACCUUCGGGCCUUGCGCUAUCAGAUGAGCCUAGGUCGGAUUAGCUAGUUGGUGGGGUAAUGGCUCACCAAGGCGACGAUCCGUAACUGGUCUGAGAGGAUGAUCAGUCACACUGGAACUGAGACACGGUCCAGACUCCUACGGGAGGCAGCAGUGGGGAAUAUUGGACAAUGGGCGAAAGCCUGAUCCAGCCAUGCCGCGUGUGUGAAGAAGGUCUUCGGAUUGUAAAGCACUUUAAGUUGGGAGGAAGGGCAGUAAGCUAAUACCUUGCUGUUUUGACGUUACCGACAGAAUAAGCACCGGCUAACUCUGUGCCAGCAGCCGCGGUAAUACAGAGGGUGCAAGCGUUAAUCGGAAUUACUGGGCGUAAAGCGCGCGUAGGUGGUUUGUUAAGUUGGAUGUGAAAGCCCCGGGCUCAACCUGGGAACUGCAUCCAAAACUGGCAAGCUAGAGUACGGUAGAGGGUGGUGGAAUUUCCUGUGUAGCGGUGAAAUGCGUAGAUAUAGGAAGGAACACCAGUGGCGAAAGCGACCACCUGGACUGAUACUGACACUGAUGUGCGAAAGCGUGGGGAGCAAACAGGAUUAGAUACCCUGGUAGUCCACGCCGU
RNAcentral lists this ribosomal RNA (746 nucleotides) under Pseudomonas sp. RNAcentral describes it as "bacterial SSU rRNA". It matches the Rfam family "Bacterial small subunit ribosomal RNA", at positions 62 to 803 of the family's 1533-position model. Lineage: Bacteria; Pseudomonadati; Pseudomonadota; Gammaproteobacteria; Pseudomonadales; Pseudomonadaceae. The record is from RNAcentral.